This 249-nucleotide unclassified non-coding RNA is filed under the name uncultured Pseudotomentella. RNAcentral describes it as "sequence contains ITS2". Lineage: Eukaryota; Fungi; Basidiomycota; Agaricomycetes; Thelephorales; Thelephoraceae. The record is from RNAcentral.
AAUUCUCAACUACCUUUUAGCAUUUUAUGUUAAGGUGAAGUUGGAGUUGGAGGAUAAUUGCUGGCGCAACUUAGGUUGCUUGUUGGCUCCUCUUGAAUGGAUGAGCUUUUCUGAUGGAUCAUGGCUCAGUAACACUAAUGUGAUAAUUAUCUAUGUUAGAUGUGAAAGCUAUGAGUAGAGUAACUUCAAUUAUGGAGGAGCUCCUAUAGAAAAGGUGUAUCUUAGGGAUGAAACCCUUGACUUUGACAA